GAUGAACGCUGGCGGCGUGCCUAAUACAUGCAAGUCGAGCGAACGGACGAGAAGCUUGCUUCUCUGAUGUUUGCGGCGGACGGGUGAGAAACACGUGGAUAACCUACUUAUAAUACUGGGAAAACCUCGGGAAACGGGAGCAAAUACCGGAGAAUAUUUUGAACCGCGUGGUUCAAAAGUGAAAGACGGUCUUGCGGUCUCUUCUAGAUGGAUACGCGCUGCAUGAGCUAGUUGGUAAGGUAACGGCUUACCAAGGCAACGAGGCAUAGCCGAACUGAGAGAGUGGUCGGCCACACUGGAGCGGAGACACGGUCCAGACUACUACGGGAGGCAGCAGUAGGGAAUCUUCCGCAGUGGGCGAGAGCCUGACGGAGCAACGCCGCGUGAGUGAUGAAAGUCUUCGGAUCGUAAAACUCUGUUAUUAGGGAAGAACAGAUGUGUAAGUAACUGUGCACAGCUUGACGGUACCUAAUCAGAAAGCCACGGCUAACUACGUG
This 497-nucleotide ribosomal RNA is filed under the name uncultured bacterium. RNAcentral describes it as "partial 16S ribosomal RNA". It matches the Rfam family "Bacterial small subunit ribosomal RNA", at positions 28 to 507 of the family's 1533-position model. The record is from RNAcentral.